CCGCCGCCGCAGCACCCACAUCCAUCCUCUCCGCGGUGCACGUCCUCCCUCCGCUGUCGUCGAAUCCGGUCGAGAUCGGCAGGAUUCACCGCAUCUCGCGCGACGCCCAUCCCAUGCACCCAGCCCCCGCCAACGACAGCUGCCCAGCACCCUCGAUGGCGCGCGCCUCCAGCAUCCUAAGCAUCAGCGGCCACCUCCCUGGGAGAGCUCCUCCUACCUCCGGCGGAGGCGCAUGAGCCGAGCCCGGCCAUCAAACGCCCGUGGCCGUGGCCAACACCAACCUCCAGGCCGCGUCAGCGUUCGGUGGCCAACUCUUGAUGGAUUUCCAAUGUGCCUCCAUCCUUCCUUUUUUUCCGGGAAUCUACUCCAAUGAGUGAAUCAUAGCCACCAAUAAGCAGGCACCCAGUGAAGAUGUCACACUUUGAUGCGAAAUGCCUGAUAUCACAUUCAUCACCAGGAAGGGUCAAGAUGUACCGCAUCAAAGGCAUCGGCAGUGCUACAAGAGUUGAAGAAAGAAGAGUAUUUGGUGUUGUUACUACUAUCUGUGAAGUGUCAAAGCUGCCGAAGAAGACAUUCCACAAUUUCUCUUUGUGUUCUGAUGCCGAUAAAUAAACCCAAGAGUGAGAAAGAUGUUGGCGAAUAGAUAAAAAUAGCUAACCGGAUUGAUGUCAGAAAACUAUUAUGGUAACAAUAAACUAUACUAUGUUUUAGGGAACUAUAUAACAAAGUCAUUUACUGUGGUAGAAAAAAGUAGUACAGUCAAUCUUGUACCUUUACAACCAAGAAACAGGGGAUAUGGUGUGCAAAAAUAGCACAUGAUGAAAGCACAGACUUCAAAUGAAUGCUCAUGUCUUCUUUCUAUAAAAACAACUCUUAUCAUAUUGUGAUUGAUUACAAGAACUGCACUUAAUUGAUUUGUUUUCUGUUAGGCAGAAAAUAUGUUGUUGCGGGGAUUCUAAAAAGCUUGAGGUGGUACCGACCGGGAAGGAGUUUAUGGAGUUAUUCGAGGUAUCAUCUUUUUGAUAUAGAGCUGACAUUCCCAUUGUGUACUACAAACUUGAACUGGCAACUUCAUUUCAAGCAUCGGGUUGACUUGAGGCCUGACACCAGUGAGGUAAGAGAGGACAGUUCAUCGCGGUGGCCGUUGAAAACGGCCAGGACGCCAGGUUGCCCGUCUACCAUCUUCUCCAGCCUGCUUCAUAUGUUGUCCUUCUCCCCCUCUGCUUUUUUUACGGCGUCGUCGCCACUCUGUGCCUGCCGCAACGUCAGCCCUCCCAUUUUUGCACUAUCGCCACCACCAACGCGCUAGCCCGUGCAGCCACCUCAAGGGUCCUCCACCACCCAUGCCAUGUCCCAUGUGUGACGCGAGAUCUGCCUCAUCGGGCAAGGACACCAGAACCUUGGCUGCCAUCUCACACGCGUUGGCGUGCACCUCGGUGUGCGAUGAGAAUGAUGCAUGUUCCCAAUGGGACAUCUUUCUUCAGCAAAUUUUAUGUUCUUACAAGGAUAGUUUACAAGAUCGUGGUAUUAUCGUUACAGCUAUCGGUGACAUGGUUUUCAGUAGCCAUGGCGACAUCAGGUGAUCCUUAUGAGCAGAAUCAUCAUGGCAAACAAACGGGUCAAUAGAAUUCAUAAAGUUGCAGUUCAUUUGCUCCAUUCAAAUAAUGCUUUCAGUUUCAAUGAAAAUUGUUAACUAGACUCCCAUGAUUGCGGUGGUGUAUUAUUCUGCAAAAAGUAGCUUUUGUGGCCUUUUAAUGUUUUCAUUCACAUCCAUGGUCAUAUUGCCUGACAAGAUGCGAGUUAUCAGCCACUUAGUUCUCAUCUUUAUUUCCAUCACACUUGGACAAUUAAUUAGCUCUGUUGCAUCAUGCUUCUGGAUAAUGAAUAAAAUGAUGUACCGCUUUGAUUACUUCUUCAUCAACCUAUGUUCCACUCAACAUUCCUCUUUUGGAUUACUUCUUCACCAACUUAUGCUCCGCUCGCUUUAAAAAAAACGUAUGCUCCACUCUACAUUUAUAUCAUGGAAAAAUAGUUGUCUAUAGUGACCUUGUAUAUAGUUGUUUUGGCAGGCAUGGUGUUUGCAUUUUUCUCUUAUUUACCCAUUGCAACGCACGGGCCCUUUUGCUAGUAACUUCAACUCCUGGAACAUCUCAUAUGCUCCAUGACACUCAAAAUGACGUUGAAGUCCCGGUUCUAAGCCGUAAAGCAUGGCACACUGAACU
This is a long non-coding RNA of Triticum aestivum (bread wheat), 2222 nucleotides long. RefSeq lists it as uncharacterized. The record is from RefSeq and is a predicted model, not a curated record. The transcript is spliced from 6 exons. Lineage: Eukaryota; Viridiplantae; Streptophyta; Magnoliopsida; Poales; Poaceae.